CCUACGGGUGGCAGCAGUGAGGAAUAUUGGUCAAUGGCCGGAAGGCUGAACCAGCCAUGCCGCGUGAAGGUCAGUGCCCUAUGGGCGUUAAACUUCUUUUGUGCGGGAGCAAUAAUGGUCACUUGUGGCCAGACGAGAGUACCGUACGAAUAAGCAUCGGCUAACUCCGUGACAGCAGCCGCGGUAAUACGUGGGAUGCAAGCGUUAUCCGGAUUUAUGGGGUUUAAAGGGUGCGUAGGCUGUGAGGUAAGUCAGCGGUGAAAUGCCCCUGCUCAACGGGGUGAAGUGACAUUGAUACUGGCUUGCUGGAAUGCGGAUGCGGGAGGAGGAAUGUGUGGUGUAGCGGGGAAAUGUAUAGAUAUCACACAGAACACCGAUUGCGAAGGCAUCUCACGAAUCCGCGAUUGACGCUGAUGCACGAAAGCGUGGGUAUCAAACAGGAUUAGAUACCCGGGUAGUC
RNAcentral lists this ribosomal RNA (460 nucleotides) under uncultured bacterium. RNAcentral describes it as "partial 16S ribosomal RNA". It matches the Rfam family "Bacterial small subunit ribosomal RNA", at positions 338 to 795 of the family's 1533-position model. The record is from RNAcentral.